Molecule: ribosomal RNA, 253 nt
Filed under: uncultured bacterium
Lineage: Bacteria
Description: partial 16S ribosomal RNA
Rfam family: Bacterial small subunit ribosomal RNA
Source: RNAcentral
GACAGAGGGUGCGAACGUUGCUCGGAAUGACUGGGCGUAAAGCGCGUGCAGGCGGCUCUGCAAGUCGGAUGUGAAAGCCCUCGGCUCAACCAAGGAAGUGCAUCCGAAACUGCUGAGCUUGAGUACUUAAGAGGAUCGCGGAAUUCCCGGUGUAGAGGUGAAAUUCGUAGAUAUCGGGAGGAACACCAGUGGCGAAGGCGGCGAUCUGGGAAGAUACUGACGCUGAGGUGCGAAAGCGUGGGGAGCAAACAGG